UUGUUACUAUUAUGUAGAAUUGUGGUAAAGUAAGCAGGUCAUCGUUGACGUGUGUGCUUGCUUUUAGGGUAUUUUAAUCUUUUUCUGGUUCUUUGGUCCAUUAGUUCUAUUGAUAUUUCUUUUCCUUUCUCCAUCGUUCUAGCUUUUUCUCUCACCUUCUUCUCUAAAAUUUCGCCCCCCCAGCCCCCCUCGUGUCUCUUUUCUUCGGUUGUAUCAAGAAAUUGUUAUAUAAGCUUUUACUUCUAUGCCCUCUUUUUGGUGUAUAACACAAAAGUAUAGAUCUCGGCUGAAUUUGGCAAUUUUUCGUUUUUCCUUGGCUACAGAAAUUCGCAUAGUAAGGGAUUUCUGAGCCAAAGAAUUGCGUUGUCACCUGAUUGGAUUGAUAUGAGAAGCCGCAGAUUUUUUUUUAAAAGUUCUCUGUCUAGGCUUAAGGUUAGUGGGUUAGUGCUCAACCCACUAACCGUCUUUGAAUGCUAUAUCCCCAUGCGAUGCAGGGUCCGAGGGAAAGUUUACUUUUUUGUGCAAUGUUAGAUGGUGAAGUGGCGAGCUUCCAUUCUUUGAAAGACUUGAUCAUUUCAUCGGUUUUCCUUCCAUAAAUUAGAAGUAAAGACUUCACAUUUACAUUGUCAUUGUUAUUGUAAUUGUCAGGGUCGGAGACAUGUCUAGACUUAGAUUAUUUUUGAAUUAGUAGAGGCUUUGAGGAUAUUACUGUGGAUUGGAUUGGGUAUUGAUGUUGACACUCUUAGAUGUCUUUAAACUUAUUACUUCCUAUCUUGAUAUGUUUUUGGAAUU
This is a long non-coding RNA of Capsicum annuum, 792 nucleotides long. RefSeq lists it as uncharacterized. The record is from RefSeq and is a predicted model, not a curated record. Lineage: Eukaryota; Viridiplantae; Streptophyta; Magnoliopsida; Solanales; Solanaceae. The transcript has 2 exons.